Molecule: ribosomal RNA, 406 nt
Filed under: uncultured bacterium
Lineage: Bacteria
Description: partial 16S ribosomal RNA
Rfam family: Bacterial small subunit ribosomal RNA
Source: RNAcentral
AUUGAACGCUGGCGGCAGGCUUAAUACAUGCAAGUCGAGCGAGCGGCGGACGGGUGAGUAAUGUCUGGGAAACUGCCUGAUGGAGGGGGAUAACUACUGGAAACGUUAGCUAAUACCGCAUACCAUCAGAUGUGCCCAGAUGGGCUUAGCUAGUAGGUGGGGUAAUGGCUCACCAGGGCGACGAUCCCUAGCGGGUCUGAGAGGAGGACCAGCCACACUGGAACUGGGACACGGGCCAGACUCCUAGGGGAGGAAGCAGUGGGGAAUAUUGCACAAUGGGCGCAAGCCGGAUGCAGCCAUGCCGGGUGGGGGAAGAAGGCUUUCGGGUUGUAAAGCACUUUCAGCGAGGAGGCGGUACUCACAGAGGAAGCACCGGCUAACUCCGUGCCAGCAGCCGCGGUAAUUC